UGGAAUUGAAGCAUUUAAGAGUAAGAUAACCCCUCCAAAAAAUGCAACUUGGUCUUUACCUGUCUCCUUUAUUUUUCUCGCUUAUUUUUUUAAAAAAAAAGUGGCCUUCCUUUUAUAUAGAUGUAUUUACUUUAAACUUAGGUCUUAAUAAAUUGGACCAUGAUACAGUGCCAUUUCUGUAUAACACACUGACCUGAGGCCGUUAGACUGUUAUAUUAUUUGUAUUUUAGCUUAUUUUGUCUCCUUGGAUUUGACUCCAGAAUACUAACAUACUUUUUUUUCCUGCUGAAUUAUAGGUCUCUGUGUAUAAGCAUCAACUACAUCUAUCAACCAAUCCCACAUUCCCAUGAUUCACCAAUUACCUAGUCUGUGUAUCUUACUAAGUUUUUACAAAAAUCAAUCACCCAUAUUGUUUCUCCAAAAAUCAAACCAUGAAUGUGUGCAUUAUGAAAACUCUCCUUCUUGGAGCAAAAUCUGCAAUCCUUCUGUUCCUGGUCUUUACUGCUGGAAUUACUGAUCCAGUAGUUGCGAGGCUUGAAGCCACUAGCAUACAAGGACUAUUUUCCGCAUGGUAAUCAUCAUGUGGCACCUUCUGGACCUAAUCCGUGCA
Molecule: long non-coding RNA, 610 nt
Filed under: Populus trichocarpa (black cottonwood)
Lineage: Eukaryota; Viridiplantae; Streptophyta; Magnoliopsida; Malpighiales; Salicaceae
Description: long non-coding RNA (PTRI_LNC000932)
Source: RNAcentral